GUUGGGUAGGGGAGCGUUCUGUAAGCCUGUGAAGGUGGCCUGUGAGGGUUGCUGGAGGUAUCAGAAGUGCGAAUGCUGACAUAAGUAACGAUAAAGCGGGUGAAAAGCCCGCUCGCCGGAAGACCAAGGGUUCCUGUCCAACGUUAAUCGGGGCAGGGUGAGUCGACCCCUAAGGCGAGGCCGAAAGGCGUAGUCGAUGGGAAACGGGUUAAUAUUCCCGUACUUGGUGUUACUGCGAAGGGGGGACGGAGAAGGCUAUGUUGGCCGGGCGACGGUUGUCCCGGUUUAAGCGUGUAGGUGUGUGUUCCAGGUAAAUCCGGUUCACUUUAACACUGAGGCGUGAUGACGAGGCACUACGGUGCUGAAGCAACAAAUGCCCUGCUUCCAGGAAAAGCCUCUAAGCAUCAGGUAACAUCAAAUCGUACCCCAAACCGACACAGGUGGUCAGGUAGAGAAUACCAAGGCGCUUGAGAGAACUCGGGUGAAGGAACUAGGCAAAAUGGUGCCGUAACUUCGGGAGAAGGCACGCUGACACGUAGGUGAAGUGAUUUACUCACGGAGCUGAAGUCAGUCGAAGAUACCAGCUGGCUGCAACUGUUUAUUAAAAACACAGCACUGUGCAAACACGAAAGUGGACGUAUACGGUGUGACGCCUGCCCGGUGCCGGAAGGUUAAUUGAUGGGGUCAGCGCAAGCGAAGCUCCUGAUCGAAGCCCCGGUAAACGGCGGCCGUAACUAUAACGGUCCUAAGGUAGCGAAAUUCCUUGUCGGGUAAGUUCCGACCUGCACGAAUGGCGUAAUGAUGGCCAGGCUGUCUCCACCCGAGACUCAGUGAAAUUGAACUCGCUGUGAAGAUGCAGUGUACCCGCGGCAAGACGGAAAGACCCCGUGAACCUUUACUAUAGCUUGACACUGAACAUUGAGCCUUGAUGUGUAGGAUAGGUGGGAGGCUUUGAAGUGUGGACGCCAGUCUGCAUGGAGCCGACCUUGAAAUACCACCCUUUAAUGUUUGAUGUUCUAACGUGGACCCGUAAUCCGGGUUGCGGACAGUGUCUGGUGGGUAGUUUGACUGGGGCGGUCUCCUCCUAAAGAGUAACGGAGGAGCACGAAGGUUGGCUAAUCCUGGUCGGACAUCAGGAGGUUAGUGCAAUGGCAUAAGCCAGCUUGACUGCGAGCGUGACGGCGCGAGCAGGUGCGAAAGCAGGUCAUAGUGAUCCGGUGGUUCUGAAUGGAAGGGCCAUCGCUCAACGGAUAAAAGGUACUCCGGGGAUAACAGGCUGAUACCGCCCAAGAGUUCAUAUCGACGGCGGUGUUUGGCACCUCGAUGUCGGCUCAUCACAUCCUGGGGCUGAAGUAGGUCCCAAGGGUAUGGCUGUUCGCCAUUUAAAGUGGUACGCGAGCUGGGUUUAGAACGUCGUGAGACAGUUCGGUCCCUAUCUGCCGUGGGCGCUGGAGAACUGAGGGGGGCUGCUCCUAGUACGAGAGGACCGGAGUGGACGCAUCACUGGUGUUCGGGUUGUCAUGCCAAUGGCACUGCCCGGUAGCUAAAUGCGGAAGAGAUAAGUGCUGAAAGCAUCUAAGCACGAAACUUGCCCCGAGAUGAGUUCUCCCUGAGACUU
This 1618-nucleotide ribosomal RNA is filed under the name Salmonella enterica. RNAcentral's name for it is "partial 23S ribosomal RNA". It matches the Rfam family "Bacterial large subunit ribosomal RNA", at positions 1223 to 2823 of the family's 2925-position model. The record is from RNAcentral. RNAcentral also lists the same sequence under 2 other names. Lineage: Bacteria; Pseudomonadati; Pseudomonadota; Gammaproteobacteria; Enterobacterales; Enterobacteriaceae.